This 406-nucleotide ribosomal RNA is filed under the name uncultured bacterium. RNAcentral describes it as "partial 16S ribosomal RNA". It matches the Rfam family "Bacterial small subunit ribosomal RNA", at positions 30 to 526 of the family's 1533-position model. The record is from RNAcentral.
AUUGAACGCUGGCGGCAGGCCUAACACAUGCAAGUCGAACGAGUGGCGGACGGGUGAGUAGUGUCUGGGAAACUGCCUGAUGGAGGGGGAUAACUACUGGAAACGGUAGCUAAUACCGCAUACCAUCAGAUGUGCCCAGAUGGGAUUAGCUAGUGGGUGGGGUAACGGCUCACCAAGGCGACGAUCCCUAGCUGGUCUGAGAGGUUGACCAGCCACACUGGAACUGAGACACGUGCCAGACGCCUACGGGAGGCAGCAGUGGGGAAUAUUGCACAAUGGGCGAAAGCCUGAUGCAGCCAAGCCGCGUGUAUGAAGAAGGCCUUCGGGUUGUAAAAUACUUUCGGCGGGGAGGCGUUACCCGAAGAAGAAGCACCGGCUAACUCCGUGCCAGCAGCCGCGGUAAUUC